This 774-nucleotide ribosomal RNA is filed under the name uncultured bacterium. Its description in RNAcentral is "bacterial SSU rRNA". It matches the Rfam family "Bacterial small subunit ribosomal RNA", at positions 8 to 796 of the family's 1533-position model. The record is from RNAcentral.
AGAGUUUGAUCCAGGCUCAGGACGAACGCUGGCGGCGUGCUUAACACAUGCAAGUCGAACGGAAAGGCCCUGCUUGCGGGGUACUCGAGUGGCGAACGGGUGAGUAACACGUGGGUGAUCUGCCCUGCACUUCGGGAUAAGCUUGGGAAACUGGGUCUAAUACCGGAUAGGACCGCACUUUAGUGUGUGUGGUGGAAAGUUUUUUCGGUGUAGGAUGAGCUCGCGGCCUAUCAGCUUGUUGGUGGGGUAAUGGCCUACCAAGGCGGCGACGGGUAGCCGGCCUGAGAGGGUGUACGGCCACAUUGGGACUGAGAUACGGCCCAGACUCCUACGGGAGGCAGCAGUGGGGAAUAUUGCACAAUGGGCGCAAGCCUGAUGCAGCGACGCCGCGUGGGGGAUGAAGGCCUUCGGGUUGUAAACUCCUUUCGCUAGGGACGAAGCUUUUGUGACGGUACCUAGAUAAGAAGCACCGGCUAACUACGUGCCAGCAGCCGCGGUAAUACGUAGGGUGCGAGCGUUGUCCGGAAUUACUGGGCGUAAAGGGCUCGUAGGUGGUUUGUCGCGUCGUCUGUGAAAUUCUGGGGCUUAACUCCGGGCGUGCAGGCGAUACGGGCAUAACUUGAGUGCUGUAGGGGUAACUGGAAUUCCUGGUGUAGCGGUGAAAUGCGCAGAUAUCAGGAGGAACACCGAUGGCGAAGGCAGGUUACUGGGCAGUUACUGACGCUGAGGAGCGAAAGCAUGGGUAGCGAACAGGAUUAGAUACCCUAGUAGUCC